GGUCAGGCAUGCACGCCCGACGAGUGUCCUCGGGCUUGUGCGCUGUAAGGUUGCUAUCCUUCUCCCUUGGUCGAUAGGAAGGAUCUGCCGCUAUAUAAUCGGCCGGUUGCAUGCAACAUCUUACAUCGCGGAUUAUAUCGGAGUUUGUGUCUCGUGGCCGGGGCGUGUUCGCAGGAGGUUUUGGCAGCGGUGCUCUGGUCUGCCCGUGGAGGAUUUGGCGGCGGUGUUUUGUUGUGUGUCGAUCUGGUGGAUGGGUUUCUUCUCCUGCUCGAUCUGCGCUUGAUUUGGUCGUUCUCUCCGUGGUGGUUGGAUUUAGCGGCGGUUUCGAUACGUGGCUGCCCGGUGGAUUUUGAUUCUGUUAGCUGUGGUGGUCGAGAUUUCACAUAUCGCUUCUUUCUGUGGCUGGGCGGCCGGCAGGUGCGGAGGUGAAGUUUGGAGUUAAUGUUUUUUCGAUUUCGUUCCUGUUCUUGUAGCUUGUUUCUUCCCGUCGGGUUUCCCUUUUAUUCUCGGUAGCGCCGUAGCGGCUCGUGCUCGGGGUUGCCGUCUUCGGGGGAUCCGCGGAGCCACCGCUUGCUGCUCUCUAGCGGGGCGGUUGGGUGGGGAUUCCGGUGGGGGUUCCUAGAUGCUCUGCGUUACCGUCUCCAGCGAAGCACAGCCUUGUUGCUUGUGAUUUUUCUGCGGAGCUGCGGCGGGGCGGGAUUGCAUUGGGUUGUGUGGUUCGCAGCUUCCUUCCUCUCCUGGUCUCCUUCGGCGGUUCUGUUUCUUGGGUUUGAUUAAAUAUUUUUAUAUCUAUAAACUGGUUCAGACAAAUGAUCUUUCACCUCACACGAGAGACAACUUUUAGUUCUUUGAUUAAAUAUUUGUAUAUCUAUAAACUGUAGUAUCAAAUUUAUUUGCAGUUCAAGCAUUCCCUACAAGGCCCGAGUAUGCACUCUUCCAGGAUUUAUUUGCUACGUACUGCAGUAGCUUAAAUCUUGUGAUUGAGUACAUCUGUUAUGACUGUGUGGGUCAAGCUUCAACUAGAUUAUGCCGCUAAUAUGUAGAAAGAAGCCAUAACAAACGGCUUGGAACUAAGGUUUGUUUCAAUGGUCAUUGAUUUGUAAUACCUGAGCUGUGUAAUAACUCCAUUGAUUGUUCUUCAGCACAGGAUGAGUCUUCUAUCGUCCAAAUCGUACCUGCCCCCUACUGUGUUAGUUUAAUUCAUAGUUCUAUUUUUUUGUCUGGUUAGUGCUUACUUCAUGAUUGUUCUGCAGCACACGAUGAGUCUUCUGUCGUCUAAGGUAGGUACCUGUCCCUACUUUGUUAGUUUAAUUCAUCUAGCUGACUUAUCAAUUUGUGGGAACGAGCACCUGUAUAACCAAAUCCUACUCUAGUAUCCUUGGAUACUGUGGCAUUUGAUUAAUUUGGACCUUUAAAGUUGAGAACUGACAUCCUAUUUAAAACGCAAGGAUCUCAAUCCAGCAGACUGGGUUAUGAAAUGCAACUUUGCAAUAAAAAUAAAUAAGAAUACAAAUUGAUCUACAUAGCCAGCUUGUUUGGGAAUACUUCACUUGUGCAAGUCUCUAAUUUACUGAACAAAAGGGGUAUAGGUUAGAAAGACUUGUGUGCUAGAUGGUUCUCUCUAGGAAAUCUAUUCGGUGACACUAUGCCGACCAUCAAUGUAUAGAGAAAUUGGAGCUUGGAAGUGAUUUUGUUGCAUAUUCAGUUUGUUUUGACAUAGUUGCUGUGCUAUAUCUGUGUUCUGAAUAUAGUCUUGUAAUGAGCCUCUCUCAGGGUCUCCAUCUGGCUGAAUGACAUUCUACAAGGUGCUAAUAAUUCCGGAAAAAGAAUAAUUGGAUCUAUACUGAUGGACAGUCAGCAUCUUACAAGGAGGUUGGACUCUUUGGCCCAAUGUCCAGCUUUGUAGAAGUCACUAUCAUGAAUUCUUAUGCUUAGGCUGAGUCCUCUAUGAGUUCACAGAAGGUCCUUUAUGAACUCGAGCGUCAGAUUGCAUGAUUCGGGCAAUGUCAGAUUCCAGCCGGCCGCCCUUUGCAUCUGAGAAGUCAUAUUCCUUCAAAAAUAUUGCUGCUCCCAGUUUUCUUCGCUAACAUUUUCCAUACUUUGAUAGGAUAAGGCUGGCAGUACUUAAUGAUAGAGGAUUAAGAAAGGAGAAGAAGGUUGAAUGGUUCGGCCUUAAUUUUUUAAAUUAUUUCAGAAUUUCAGAAUUUCAGAAUUAUGGCAUUAAUUCUCUCUUUAGUUUCUUAUCUUAAGCAACAUCUUUUCCCCAAAUCUGUGGAUUGCACAAAUUUAGUUCUUUCAGCUUAUCUAGAACUAUGCAAUGUUCUUAUGCAUAUUUAGGGCUGGAGCUUUUGUGUGAUAUGUCCUCAGAGAUAUCUAUUUAGUGUUCGUUAGGAAGUCUUGACUCUUUUAUUUGCCAUGCACCCACUGACAUAGACAAACACAAGUAUAAGUGCAUUAAGUUGAAUAAUUUAUUUUGUACUGAUAGACAUGUCAUUUUAAUGGCAAAUUCGUUGAAUUUUCAUUCAAGAGAGAUCGCCCUCUUUUAGUUAUUAUAGCGUGUUGUCAGUUUGUCAUGUCCAUUCAGUUCUCUAUAGGCAGAUGCUGGAGUGUAGAACUCAUAUUAUGCAAUGCUAAGGUGCUAAUUACUUUUUUUUUUAAAAGAGAGAGAACUGAGAGUAGCCAUUGUCUUCGAUUUUCCUACCCAGAUUUGGCACCUUUUUAAAUGCAUGUAUGCCCAAUUUGAUGGUGUGUGUGUGAUUCCGAACGCUGAGCCACAAAGAGAGGAACUGUAAUGGUGACAAGGCCUGCUUCAGAAACUGGGCUUUGGGUCUUUUUUUCUCAAGUUUGGACACUCUUCUGCCUUCAGCUAUGUCAUAUGAGGCACACAAAUAAAUAUUCAUGCGGACUUGCUUGUGAUAUGUUCAGUUGUAUUCUGAUCCACGUUAUUGAAUUUUGUCAAAAUAAUGCAUGCUCUUGGCCUUCUGAUCGAAUGAACAUCAACAUGCUUCAAUAUCCCCUGCACAACUACAUGGUAAGCUCGUACUUAUUAUUAUGAAAGGAACCAGGAACAAAUAAAGUAAGCAACAAUUUCUCUAUUUACUUUUCCUUUUGUUGUAGAUUCAUUCUCAACGGGAGAUCCCUAUGAUUUUCUUGGAAUAAGUUUUUCCCUCAUUUGAGUCAUGCCUUUUCCCUGAUGUGUUGAUGAAUACCUGGGUUAGGCUGAGCGGGACAAAAAUGUCAUGUUCAGCUUUGACACAGUGUUCUGAUGUCUAUAAUUUCGUUGCAGUCCCAUUGUUGUAGAUAUUGAUUCCUUCGGUUUCUUUCUAAAUUUGUUCAUAAGUUAGUCAAAGCUUUUGUUAUUACCAAUUGAGUGACUACUCUGGGGACAGAUGUUGUCAAUUGAAAAUGGAUGAUGAUUAGUUAUGGCCAGUGUUCUAUAUUUGAUACUCAUUUGCUGCUCUGGUUACUGACUGAGUAUAGAGAAGCUAUCCCAAGGUUCCUGCAUAUAUGAUCUGAAUAAUACAAAUUAUGCAUUAGCUUUCUUAUUGGUGCAGGCAGCGAGACCAACCAACCAUGCCAUAAUGCUUUGUCAGGUCUCUACAGGAUAUUGAGAACUCAAGUGACCAGAAAGCCCCCUACAGGACCGUACACAUAAUGGAACUGAAGAUAUCAACAGGUAUGCCUAAAAAAAUCCUCCAUACAUAAGAGGCUAGCCAGUUAGCCAUUGGACCGAAGUGUCACCACGAGUGUCGUAUUGGACUUUUUUUCCCUGGUAAAGCACACUGAUAAGUAGGAGUAGAGAUCACCGAGUGCAAACUGUGGUUUCUUAAAUUUAGACACUCGAACCAAAAAAAUGAUAUAUGAAUAUACCAUGAACCUUAGGAAAGUUAUUGUGAGAUGUCUGACACUUCUGAUGUGUUGCAUGUAGCACGAGUAAAAGGUUAUUGGAAAGGUGAGGUUUCCCAUCGUAAAUACGGAGUACCAAUUUAAUUGUAUGGCCUAGAACGACUGUGAUCAUCAAUUGUUAAACAAAAAUUUGUCAAUAUUUCUGUUACACGGUAUUGAACCAGGUGCCAAGAGGUUUUUUUGUUUCAAACCAAAAAGAAUUCAUUCAGGGGAAAGGUCAGUGUGCUCUCGUUACGGAUCUCCAGACCGUUGCAGUGGCUUUGAUUUAUUUGACAACAUGCCCAGAAGAAGUUGGCGAAAAACCACACGCUAUUAGCCAUACUGCUACACACACCAGAGAGCUUCCCUUCCAAAAGGCAAAUAUGUAUAGAGCAAACUGAUGCACUGAACUUGAGCCUUUAUGUUCAUUGCAAAAUCUUGAAUGUUAAAGUAGAGAUAUAAGUGUCCCAUAAGUUGCAUCUCAUUAUAGAUUUUCUCUGUAUUCAUUUGUUCGUGGCAAAUGUAUCAUGUGGCCUCCACAAAUGUAUGAUAUGUGUAAAUCUGUAUCAAACGUUUAUGAACAUGGAGGGAACUUAAGGAUUGUUGUAUAUAUUGCCAGCGUGGCACAAACAAA
This is a long non-coding RNA of Brachypodium distachyon (stiff brome), 4519 nucleotides long. RefSeq lists it as uncharacterized. The record is from RefSeq and is a predicted model, not a curated record. The transcript has 2 exons. NCBI's taxonomy places the organism in Eukaryota, Viridiplantae, Streptophyta, Magnoliopsida, Poales, Poaceae.